UCCACUUCUCCAUUUGAGCGGCAAUUCACGAAUGGAGGUUUUAUUCUCUUUUCCCUCACACGCUUCUUUUUCUCAUCUAUUUUUUCUUACAGUCGUUGUUUCCAUAAGUAUCUUUCAUUCAAACUGCAUAUUCAAAUUUCAAACUCUUAAAUCUUCACUUUUGAGAUUUUCUUACAAUCGUUUUUUCUUCUUAAUCAAUCCAUCAUCGCUAUCUCUUUCCUCUGUUCGUCACAUGAUAUUUAUUAUUUAAUCAAUCGUUGCUUCUCCUUUCAGCCGUGAAAAAACCUAAUACCCUGCUUCUUUCCAAAUCUGUAUUGGUUCCUCUCCUUCAAUCUAUACCACUUUUGUCUUUUCAGUUUCAAAAAAACCUUAAAUCGCAAUUGGAAUCAAGCAACAUGUUAGUUUUCUUCUAAAUCUUUAAUGUCUAUCCUACAAGACGCUGAUGGUGGAUCGAGUUUUGAUAAUUUCAGAUCAAAGAUGGAAAGAAACUUCAGCAAAACAGAGUAAUGGUUCCUCAAGCCCUUUAAAAUUUUCAAUCAGAAUGUGAUGAUUGGGAACUGUCAACAGGAGAUGCAAAUGUGGUGAUGCUUUGAAAAGGAGAAAUCAUUUUCCAAAUUGGUUUUUUGUUUCUAACUCUUAGACAUGUUUCGCUUUUAUAAUUUUAAUUAAGUUCUAAAAAUGGAAUUGAUGAUGACCGAAACAUCAAAACAACUGUUUGAUAUUGGAAGAAGCUGGUUUGAAGAAGAAAAAUGAUAGAUCUGUGUGAUUCAGACAUUUUGCAAAGUAAUAGUCGUUUAUGCAGUACAGUUAUAAUUGUAAGUUUUCAACUUGUAGGUGGAUUUGCUUGAAAGAAAAAUGGAGGGGUUAUUGCAGGGAGUGCUAGAUCAAAUGGAGAAAAAGUAUGGAUUUGUCAUAGACGGUUCAACUUAUACAUCAAAACGGAUCUAUUUGUUCUGGAUGGGUUCGGUUUUGUCUCAGCGAUGAGGAAAUCCGUUCUUGAAACCACCCGUUGAUGAUUGCUGUUUGGGUUUCGAUUUCUUGGUUUCCAAAUCUAAGCUUGAUCUGAUCUCAUGUAAAUACUAAUUGUACCCAUGAUAUUCUUCACAUCGCUCAAAGAUGCAAAGUCGAAAUGAGGUUUAAUUAACGAUUCUUGCCCUAAUGAUGGAAAACCUUCACGGAUGGAUCAGAGUCAUCAAGUCACAUGGUGGAUCUUAAACUCAAGUUGCGUAAGGUUAGUCAAGUUAAUCUUCAUAUCUUAUUUAAUUUGAACAACUCUUGGAUAAACUGCAUAAUAUGAAUACAUUUUCAAAAUUAGUGUAGCUCUUGAUGAAGCUUGAUUAUGAAUAUGAAUGUGACUGUGUGUAAA
Helianthus annuus (common sunflower) is the source of this 1366-nucleotide long non-coding RNA. RefSeq lists it as uncharacterized. The transcript is spliced from 2 exons. Lineage: Eukaryota; Viridiplantae; Streptophyta; Magnoliopsida; Asterales; Asteraceae. The record is from RefSeq and is a predicted model, not a curated record.